GUAACUCAACUGUCUUUCAACUCUUUUUUCUCUCUCUCUCUCUUUGGCGAAUGAACCAUUCUCUUCCUCUCCGAUCCGAAACCCAUCACUUCUAACACCUGCAGAUCUCCCUCUCUCAACCUCACUCCACACCUUACACCAAAGUCUCCCAAACUUUCCAUCGCUUAUUAUUCCCUUUUUACUCUUUCUCUCUUCUCACCUUUCUGCAAUUGCUUCUCUAGGGUUUCUCCGAGGCGACGGAUUUUCCAAUUGUAUCCGGCCUUUCAAUUGGAUUGAAUGACUGUAUGGCGGCACCUAGGCUAUGACUUCAAGCAUGUUGAGUGGGGAGUGAAGUGUUUGCUUCGUUGAAUGGCGCUAGCUUCCACCAAGCCACCGCCCAACCACAGUUGUUCUUGGUUGUAGUCGUAGAUCCGGGCUUACCAGUGUGCUUUUUCUUGUUCUCUUCUCUUUCCAUUUUUCUCUGGUAUGGAGCAUUUGAGCCACAACUUUCUUGGCAAUUUGCCUAUUUGAGUCAACCAGUCAUAAUAAAAUGUUAUAUAUAUAUAUAUAUAUAUAUAUAACUCCAUAUCAUCCUUGGAUGAGAGAAGAUGGAGCAUCUGAUAAACCUCGAUCUAGAUGUUUUUGUUUUAUCCAGAAUGAAACAAUUUAGGACAAUGAACAAGCUAAAGAAAGCUGCUCUGAAGGUUUAUCUUUGGGAGUUCUCAAUCUUGCAAUUGUGGUACCACAGGUUAGAACCCACUUACUCAUAUAUUAACAGCUUGAAGGUUGGGACUGACCUAUUAUGACGUUAUCGUUCUCCAGAAUACCUAUUAUGACGUUAUCGUUCUCCAGAAUAUUAACAGCUUGAAAGUACAAAACCAAGAGUUUUAAUUGUGAAUUAAGAGGCAUUUUUGCCUAUUAUUGUUGUUUGGUUGAGAAAUAAAAUUGAUCAUUUUUAAGAUGUGCACUGCACAACUCAUCAUAUAACUAUAGGCUUUCCAAUUUUCCCUGGUUCCUAUUAGAUCACUAAGCACGUGCUAGUCCUUCAUAAGGUUUUUGGAAGCCAUUAUAAGAAUUUUAUAAUCCUAUCAUAUCAUUACUAAUGGCCUUAGCUGAUGAUAGAUUCCAUUUUUUGCUGGGUUUAAUUAAAAUACAUUUAAACUAGUGUAUUUUUCCUUUCCUCUUGUACUAUCCAUAGUAAUUUCUAAAAUUAAAUACAUUCAUUAUGAAAUAUAAAAAUGAAGUUGAGACAACAUCUAAUGCUUUCUGCCUCAUUCCUUAUUAUUUUAUAUCAAAAUGAAUCAGUUUUUUUGGAUGAUUGUUCCAUAUCCCAUUUAUUGCAAGGACCUUCUAAAUUUAGUUUAGCAACAUAUCGAGUGAAUUAGUGCCAAUACAUAUUCCCUUCUAGCAUUUAACUUGUUCAUGUUAGAUUGUGAUAUAGUAACAUGUGCUAUAAUGUAUCCUACAGCCAGUAUUAUAUAGUAGGAGGAAAGUUUAUAGGACUGGCUUAAUUGUUUGGCAAAGGCAGAUACGGAGAGGACACUUGAGGAAAAGAUGUUGUGGCUGAUAGAGAGUCAUGAUCACGUAGUCAGGUGAUGUGGAUGGAACCGAGCACCAUGUUGACAAUGCUCAAGUUGAUCAUUGACUCUUGGCUAUUGUUUUAGUUUGAUUAUGUCAUGUUAGUUAUGAAUUUAAACUAUAUUAAACUUUCACAUUGCAUUUUAUUAAACUUUGAAUUUUCACUUUGUCAAUAUUUAAUUAGAAUUUUGUUAUUAGAUGUAUUUACAG
RNA transcript from Glycine soja, 1767 nucleotides. It is a transcript of the gene named calcium-dependent protein kinase 15-like, with no coding region annotated. The transcript is spliced from 4 exons. The record is from RefSeq and is a predicted model, not a curated record. Lineage: Eukaryota; Viridiplantae; Streptophyta; Magnoliopsida; Fabales; Fabaceae.